Molecule: non-coding RNA, 31 nt
Filed under: Mus musculus (house mouse)
Lineage: Eukaryota; Metazoa; Chordata; Mammalia; Rodentia; Muridae
Source: RNAcentral
UACCACACAGUCACUUGUCUGCAUUUUGAUC